RNAcentral lists this transfer RNA (85 nucleotides) under Felis catus (domestic cat). It matches the Rfam family "tRNA". From Rfam's summary of the family: Transfer RNA (tRNA) molecules are approximately 80 nucleotides in length. Their secondary structure includes four short double-helical elements and three loops (D, anti-codon, and T loops). Lineage: Eukaryota; Metazoa; Chordata; Mammalia; Carnivora; Felidae. The record is from Rfam by way of RNAcentral. RNAcentral also lists the same sequence under 2 other names.
GCCUGGGUGGCUUGGUCGGUUAAGCGUCCGACUUCGGCUCAGGUCAUGAUCUCACGGUCUGUGGGUUCGAGCCCCACGUCGGGCU